This 301-nucleotide ribosomal RNA is filed under the name uncultured bacterium. Its description in RNAcentral is "partial 16S ribosomal RNA". It matches the Rfam family "Bacterial small subunit ribosomal RNA", at positions 509 to 809 of the family's 1533-position model. The record is from RNAcentral.
CAGCAGCCACGGUAAUACGAAGGGGGCUAGCGUUGCUCGGAAUGACUGGGCGUAAAGGGCGCGUAGGCGGCGGCCAAAGUCAGGCGUGAAAUUCCCGGGCUCAGCCUGGGGGCUGCGUUUGAUACUUGGUUGCUUGAGUGGGGAAGAGGGUCGUGGAAUUCCCAGUGUAGAGGUGAAAUUCGUAGAUAUUGGGAAGAACACCGGUGGCGAAGGCGGCGACCUGGUCCUUUACUGACGCUGAGGCGCGAAAGCGUGGGGAGCAAACAGGAUUAGAUACCCCUGUAGUCCCUGUCUCUUAUAA